UGACGGUACCUGACUAAGAAGCCCCGGCUAACUACGUGCCAGCAGCCGCGGUAAUACGUAUGGUGCAAGCGUUAUCCGGAUUUACUGGGUGUAAAGGGAGCGCAGGCGGUUCUGCAAGUUGGAUGUUAAAUCUACGGGCUUAACCCGUAUACGCAUUCAAAACUGUAGGACUUGAGUGAAGUAGAGGUAGGCGGAAUUUCCGGUGUAGCGGUGGAAUGCGUAGAUAUCGGAAGGAACACCAGUGGCGAAGGCGGCCUACUGGGCUUUUACUGACGCUGAGGCUCGAAAGCAUGGGUAGCAAACAGGAUUAGAUACCCUG
This 319-nucleotide ribosomal RNA is filed under the name uncultured bacterium. RNAcentral describes it as "bacterial SSU rRNA". It matches the Rfam family "Bacterial small subunit ribosomal RNA", at positions 470 to 789 of the family's 1533-position model. The record is from RNAcentral.